This is a small nucleolar RNA of Chrysolophus pictus (golden pheasant), 65 nucleotides long. Ensembl annotates it as small nucleolar RNA, C/D box 61. The record is from Ensembl. NCBI's taxonomy places the organism in Eukaryota, Metazoa, Chordata, Aves, Galliformes, Phasianidae.
GCUGUGAUGACUCUUAUAAUGUUGAUCUUAUGAAAUGAUCAUGUUCUCUAAGAAGUUCUGAGCUU